RNAcentral lists this ribosomal RNA (600 nucleotides) under uncultured soil bacterium S0145. Its description in RNAcentral is "bacterial SSU rRNA". It matches the Rfam family "Bacterial small subunit ribosomal RNA", at positions 61 to 684 of the family's 1533-position model. The record is from RNAcentral.
GUCGAGCNUUUNUNAAUUUUAUUUACGGGUAGCGGCAGACGGGUGAGUAACGCGUGGAUAAUCUACCCCUUUCUCUGGGUAUAGCCUUCCGAAAGGAGGGUAAUCCCGGAUAGUCUAACAGGGUGAAAUUCCCUAUUAGUAAAGAAUUUCGGAAAGGGAGGAAUCUGCGUCCCAUCAGCUUGUUGGUAGGGUAAUGGCNUACCAAGGCAACGACGGGUAGNUGGACUGAGAGGUCGGCCAGCCACAAGGGAACUGAGACACGGUCCCUACACCUACGGGUGGCAGCAACCGGGAAUAUUGCGCAAUGGGCGAAAGCCUGACGCAGCGACGCCGCGCGGAGGAUGACGGCCUUCGGGUUGUAAACUCCUUUUGUAAGGGAAGAUUAUGACGGUACCUUACGAAUAAGCAGUUGCUAACUACGUGCCAGAAGCCUCGGUAAUACGUAGACUGCAAGCGUUAUCCGGAUUUACUGGGCGUAAAGCGUGCGUAGGCUUGAUUUUAAGUCGACGGUGAAAUACCCGGGCUCAACCCGGGAAACGCUAUCGAUACUGGGAUCAUUGAGAGUAAGCGAGGGCAUCGGAACUUUGAAAGUAGCAGUGA